CAUCAUUUUGCUUGCUAUCACUGC
This 24-nucleotide non-coding RNA is filed under the name Arabidopsis thaliana (thale cress). The record is from RNAcentral. Lineage: Eukaryota; Viridiplantae; Streptophyta; Magnoliopsida; Brassicales; Brassicaceae.